Molecule: ribosomal RNA, 1591 nt
Filed under: human gut metagenome
Description: bacterial LSU rRNA
Rfam family: Bacterial large subunit ribosomal RNA
Source: RNAcentral
GGAGGUUGGCUUAGAAGCAGCCAUCCUUGAAAGAGUGCGUAAUAGCUCACUGGUCAAGUGAUCGUGCGCCGACAAUGUAGCGGGGCUCAAGCACACCGCCGAAGCCGCGGACCCAUCACGUGUUCCCUACCGGGUUUGUCCUGGUCAGGGGUGGUGGGUGGUAGGGGAGCGUCCUGCACCGGGUGAAGCCGCAGAGUGAUCUAGUGGUGGACGGUGCGGGAGUGAGAAUGCAGGCAUGAGUAGCGAUACUAGGGUGAGAAGCCCUAGCGCCGAAUGACCAAGGGUUCCAGGGCCAGGCUAGUCCGCCCUGGGUGAGUCGGGACCUAAGGCGAGGCCGACAGGCGUAGUCGAUGGAUGACGGGUUGAUAUUCCCGUACCGGCGAAGCACCGCCCAUGCUGACGCGCGGGUGCUAACCCACGCCCGGCACCACAAUCGCGCCUUCUGGUGGCUUCGGCUGCCUGUUGGUGUGGUGGUGUGGGGUCUGGGGACCCUCCGUGCAGGUAGGCAAGCGUGUUAACAGGGGUGACGCACAGUGGUAGCCUCCGCGGGCCUAAUGGCUUGGCCCGUUCAAGCGAGCAGCCCGACAGCCAGGCAAAUCCGGUUGUCUUCCUUUGAUGGUGAGGGUCAGACGUGAUGGUGACCUGCCCUUCUCGGGUGGGGAAGUAGGGUGAUCCUGGGGUGCCGAGAAAAGCCUCGACGCGAUGGUGCCAGCCGCCCGUACCCUAAACCGACACAGGUGGUCGGGCAGAGUAUGCCUAGGCGCACGAGUGAAUCAUGGUGAAGGAACUCGGCAAAAUGCCCCCGUAACUUCGGGAGAAGGGGGGCCCGAGCCUUGAAGCCCCUUUUUGCGGGCUAGGGGUGAGGGUCGCAGAGACCAGGGAGAAGCGACUGUUUACUAAAAACACAGGUCCGUGCGAAGCCGCAAGGCGAUGUAUACGGACUGACGCCUGCCCGGUGCUGGAAGGUUAAGAGGAACCGUCAACCCCCGUCGUGGGGUGAAGCGGUGAAUUUAAGCCCCAGUAAACGGCGGUGGUAACUAUAACCAUCCUAAGGUAGCGAAAUUCCUUGUCGGGUAAGUUCCGACCUGCACGAAUGGCGUAACGACUUCUCCACUGUCUCCACCAUGAGCUCGGCGAAAUUGCACUACGAGUAAAGAUGCUCGUUACGCGCAGAAGGACGGAAAGACCCCGGGACCUUUACUACAGCUUGGUAUUGGCGCCCGCUAUGGCUUGUGCAGGAUAGGUGGGAGACUGUGAAGCAGCCACGCCAGUGGUUGUGGAGUCGUCGUUGAAAUACCACUCUGGCUAUGGCGUGCGCCUGAACCUCGGCCCGUGAUCCGGGUCAGGGACAGUGCCUGGUGGGUAGUUUAACUGGGGCGGUUGCCUCCUAAAAUGUAACGGAGGCGCUCAAAGGUUCCCUCAGCCUGGUUGGUAAUCAGGUGGCGAGUGCAAGUGUACAAGGGAGCUUGACUGUGAGACCGACGGGUCGAGCAGGUGCGAAAGCAGGAACUAGUGAUCCGGCCAUGGCACGUGGGUGCGUGGUCGCUCAACGGAUAAAAGGUACCCCGGGGAUAACAGGCUGAUCUUGCCC